UCUGGUUGAUCCUGCCAGUGUCAUAUGCUUGUCUCGAGGAUUAAGCCAUGCAUGUCUAAGUAUAAGCGAUUAUACGGCGAGACUGCGAAUGGCUCAUUACACCAGUUACAAUUUUAUUUGGUCAUAACGUUAUCUAUUCGGAUAACUUUGCUAACGCAAAGCUAAUACGUGCUAAAAGCCCCGACUUCUGGAAGGGGUGCAUUUAUUAGUCGCAAAACCAGCAGGAUCAGUGGCAACAUUGGUCCGUCUCGUUGGUGAAUCAUAAUAACUUAGCUGAUCGCAUGGCCUUUGUGCCGGCGACGUGCCAUCCAAGUUUCUGCCCUAUCAGCUUCCGACGGUAGAGUAUUGGUCUACCGUGGCUUCAACGGGUAACGGGGAAUUAGGGUUCGAUUCCGGAGAGGAAGCCUGAGAGACGGCUUCCAGUUCCAAGGAAGGCAGCAGGCGCGCAAAUUACCCAAUACUGAAUCAGUGAGGUAGUGAGAAGAAAUAUCAAAGUUCGGCCCUUUCGGGUCGAACUAUUGGAAUGAGUAACAUUUAAAUCCCAUAACGAGUAUCAACUGGAGGGCAAGUCUGGUGCCAGCAGCCGCGGUAAUUCCAGCUCCAGUAGCAUAUGUCAACGUUGCUGCGGUUAAAACGCCCGUAGUCGAAGGUCGGGCGGAUUGCUGCCGGUGUUUGGUUUGUUUAUUUGAUGUGGUGGUGGCUUCGGUUGCUGCCAUGUUGGGUAGAUGAGCCAUUCAAAGCGCCGGCGCGCCGUCCUUUUGUUCUGGAAGUGCUGAGUCUUAUCGUUUACUCGGUGGAUUCGGUGCUCUGGACUUUUACUGUGAAGAAAUUAGUGUUCAAAGCAGGCGUUAUAAGCCUUGAAUACAUUAGCAUGGAAUAAUGGAAGAGGACAUUGGUCUGAUUUUGUUGGUUUUUGACAGAUCGAUGUAAUGAUUAAUAGGGAUAAUUGGGGCCAUUCGUACUCCAUCGCUAGAGGUGAAAUUCUUGGAUUGAUGGAAGACGAACUAGUGCGAAAGCAUCUGGCAAGGGUGUUUUCAUUGAUCAAGGACGAAAGCUGGGGGCGCGAAGACGAUCAGAUACCGUCGUAGUCCCAGCUAUAAACGAUGCCAGCUGAGGAUUGGUGGGUGUUUUUUAAUGACUCCAUCAGCACUCAAAGGAAAACCUAAGCUUUUAGGCUCCGGGGGAACUAUUGUCGCAAGGCUGGAACUUAAAGGAAUUGACGGAAGGGCACACAAGAAACUGGAUUCUGCGGCUUAAUUUGACCCAACACGGGGAAACUUACCAGGUCCAGACACAGGGAGGAUUGACAGGUUAGAGACCUUUCUUUGAUUCUGUGGGGGGUGGUGCAUGGCCGUUCUUAGUUCGUGGAUCGAUCUGUCUACCUUAUCGUGAUAACGAACGAGACGCCUACCAAUAUCUAGACACGCCAUCUUCACGAGUGUGAGGGCAACCUUGCAUUCGCGGGAUGUGCGGCU
This 1475-nucleotide ribosomal RNA is filed under the name metagenome. RNAcentral's name for it is "SSU rRNA". It matches the Rfam family "Eukaryotic small subunit ribosomal RNA", at positions 1 to 1401 of the family's 1831-position model. The record is from RNAcentral.